UUWCAAAAACAUCUUUUCUUGUUAGUUUUUGAAGUAUGGCCUGCCCACUGAGUGUUUUUGAAGGGCCGCGGUAUUUUGACCGUGCAAAGGUAGCAUAAUCAUUAGUUCUUUAAUUGUGAUCUGGAAUGAAUGGCUUGACGAGAUGCAAGCUGUCUUAGGUUUGGUGAAAUUUUAGUUGAAUUUGGUUUCUGGGUUAAAAUACUCAGAUUUUUUUAUGGGACGAGAAGACCCUAUAGAGUUUUACACUUUUAUUUAUUGAUAUUGUUUGGUUUGAUUUAUUGUUUCUUAAAUAGAUUUAUUGUGUUUUGUUGGGGUGAUGGGAAGAAUUUGUUUAACUCUUCUUUAUUUUGUAUACAUUUAUUUGUGUUAUUAUGAUCCAUUUUUUAUGAUUGAAAGAUUAAAUUACCUUAGGGAUAACAGCGUUAUCCUCCUUGAGAGUUCUUAUUGGCAGGGGGGUUUGCGACCUCGAUGUUGGAUUAAGGUUGAUUUUUGGUGUAGGAGCUGAAUAUAAAUAUUGGGUCUGUUCGACCUUUAAAAUCUUACGUGAUCUGAGU
Molecule: ribosomal RNA, 554 nt
Filed under: Schedorhinotermes sp. ENT-MG298
Lineage: Eukaryota; Metazoa; Arthropoda; Insecta; Blattodea; Rhinotermitidae
Description: partial small subunit ribosomal RNA
Rfam family: Bacterial large subunit ribosomal RNA
Source: RNAcentral